Molecule: non-coding RNA, 239 nt
Organism: Pelobates cultripes (western spadefoot toad)
Lineage: Eukaryota; Metazoa; Chordata; Amphibia; Anura; Pelobatidae
Source: the annotation of a GenBank genome assembly
CGAACAGUUUACACUCCUGGCAGUCGCACUGUAACAGCAUACAAUCCAAUUCCCCCCAAGAUCGAGACAACACUUCGUUUGAGGGUCAAGCAGAAUCUGGUUUACUGGGGCUGCCUGCCCGGCUUUUAUGCAGGUCUCCCGCCUGGUGGACACUCCCCUAGGGGACCAGAUGGAAGACUGGGAAACAUAUUAGACAUUGACCAAUCACAAGUUUACAAUCCCACAAUGCAACACAAUCC